AUUGAACGCUGGCGGCAUGCCUUACACAUGCGAGUCGAACGGUAACGCGGGGCAACCUGGCGACGAGUGGCGGACGGGUGAGUAAUGCAUCGGAACGUGCCCAGCAGUGGGGGAUAGCCCGGCGAAAGCCGGAUUAAUACCGCAUGAGACCUGAGGUUGAAAGCGGGGGAUCGCAAGACCUCGCGCUUUUGGAGCGGCCGAUGUCAGAUGAGCUAGUUGGUGGGGUAAAGGCCUACCAAGGCGACGAUCUGUAGCUGGUCUGAGAGGACGAGCAGCCACACUGGGAGUGAGACACGGCCCAGACUCCUACGGGAGGCAGCAGUGGGGAAUUUUGGACCAUGGGCGCAAGCCUGAUCCAGACAUGCCGCGUGCGGGAAGAAGGACUUCGGGUUGUAAAUCGCUUUUGUCAGGGAAGAAACGCUCUGGGCUAAUACCCUGGGGUAAUGACGGUACCUGAAGAAUAAGCACCGGCUAAAUACGUGC
Molecule: ribosomal RNA, 483 nt
Filed under: uncultured bacterium
Lineage: Bacteria
Description: partial 16S ribosomal RNA
Rfam family: Bacterial small subunit ribosomal RNA
Source: RNAcentral